Molecule: ribosomal RNA, 468 nt
Filed under: uncultured bacterium
Lineage: Bacteria
Description: partial 16S ribosomal RNA
Rfam family: Bacterial small subunit ribosomal RNA
Source: RNAcentral
GACGAACGCUGGCGGCGUGCUUAACACAUGCAAGUCGAGCGGAAAGGCCAUGCUUUUGUGGGGUUCUCGAGUGGCGAACGGGUGCGUAACACGUGAGUAACCUGCCCUUGACUCUGGGACAUCUUCAGGAAAUUGGGGCUAUAACCGGAUAGGAGCACCUGAUCCCUGGUGGGCGUUGGAAAGUUUCGACGGUUGUGGAUUGGAUGGCGGCUUAUCCGUUUGUUGGGGUGGUAGUGGCUUAACAGGGCUUCGAAGGGUAGCAGGCCUGAGGGGGCUACCGGCCACAGUGCGACUGAGCUACGGCCCAGAGUCCUACGGGAGGCAGCAGUAGGGAAUAUUGCACAAUGGGCGGAAGCCGGAUGCAGCAAGGCCGCGUGCGGGAUGAUGGCCUUCGGGUUGUAAACCGCUUUCGCCUGUGACGAAGCGUGAGUGUCGGUAAUGGGUAAAGAAGCACCGGCUAACUACGUG